GCCCCGAUGGUGUAGUCCGGACUUCUAUUUGGAAGGGACAAACUAUCAUUCUGCCCUUUCGAGGCAGCGACCCGGGUUCAAAUCCCGGUCGGGGCG
Molecule: transfer RNA, 96 nt
Filed under: Candidatus Woesearchaeota archaeon CG10_big_fil_rev_8_21_14_0_10_36_11
Lineage: Archaea; Nanobdellati; Candidatus Woesearchaeota
Description: tRNA-Glu
Rfam family: tRNA
About the family: Transfer RNA (tRNA) molecules are approximately 80 nucleotides in length. Their secondary structure includes four short double-helical elements and three loops (D, anti-codon, and T loops). Further hydrogen bonds mediate the characteristic L-shaped molecular structure. tRNAs have two regions of fundamental functional importance: the anti-codon, which is responsible for specific mRNA codon recognition, and the 3' end, to which the tRNAs corresponding amino acid is attached (by aminoacyl-tRNA synthetases). tRNAs cope with the degeneracy of the genetic code in two manners: having more than one tRNA (with a specific anti-codon) for a particular amino acid; and 'wobble' base-pairing, i.e. permitting non-standard base-pairing at the 3rd anti-codon position.
Source: RNAcentral